This is a long non-coding RNA of Vidua chalybeata, 610 nucleotides long. RefSeq lists it as uncharacterized. The record is from RefSeq and is a predicted model, not a curated record. Lineage: Eukaryota; Metazoa; Chordata; Aves; Passeriformes; Viduidae. The transcript has 3 exons.
AUCAGUUGGUUACCAAAAGACUUCAGCAGGCCCCGGAUAGUGCUGCAACAUGACCACAGAGCUUGUGAGGGCCCAGUGGGAGUUAGGACCCCGGAGUGCUGAGCCACAAAAGGCUUUUGACCCUGCAAGGAGAUGGAUCACUACACAGAAAUCCCUGUGGCAACAGAAACCAAACAUGCUCUCAAAGCAACAGCAUCCUCUCAGUCAGUCACUGAACAGCUCGGUUACCUUGGGCUGCUGCAGAAGGAUGUCUCUCCAGUAUUUUACUCAGAGAGGCAGCAAAUCUCCUCUGCUUUCACCCAUGGCUGACAAACAGCAGACACAUUUGGGAGGAGCUGAACUCCUGGGCAUGGUUUGCACCAUCAUCAAUCUCAGCCCUGCACCAACUCCUUGAGCAACCCCAAGAAAAAAGCACCAAACAAACCAAGAAAAAAUGACCCUUCUUGUGCUGCUGUCUGCAUUUCAUCUGCAAGGUGAAGAAAAUACUAACUUCUUAUCAAUGUAAAAUGUCUGUCAAUCCACAAGGAGACCUGCAACUCUACAGAUGUUACCACAGACUGCUGAACAGCCAUUUGCUACUGUCAAUAAAGCAUAACUCCUCUGGGAGAAA